UCUAGCGACAAUAGCACUGUGGCACCACCUGAUCCCAUUCCGAACUCAGAAGUGAAACGCAGUAGCGCCGAUGGUAGUGUGGGAGUUCCCAU
Molecule: ribosomal RNA, 92 nt
Filed under: Colwellia sp. BRX9-1
Lineage: Bacteria; Pseudomonadati; Pseudomonadota; Gammaproteobacteria; Alteromonadales; Colwelliaceae
Also listed under: 2 other names
Source: RNAcentral